RNAcentral lists this ribosomal RNA (253 nucleotides) under uncultured bacterium. RNAcentral's name for it is "partial 16S ribosomal RNA". It matches the Rfam family "Bacterial small subunit ribosomal RNA", at positions 524 to 776 of the family's 1533-position model. The record is from RNAcentral.
UACGUAGGGUGCGAGCGUUAAUCGGAAUUACUGGGCGUAAAGCGUGCGCAGGCGGUUUUGUAAGCCAGAUGUGAAAUCCCCGGGCUUAACCUGGGAAUGGCAUUUGGGACUGCAAGGCUCGAGUGCGGCAGAGGAGACUGGAAUUCCUGGUGUAGCAGUGAAAUGCGUAGAUAUCAGGAGGAACACCAACAGCGAAGGCAGCUCGCUGGGACGUCACUGACGCUGAGACGCGAAAGCGUGGGGAGCAAACAGG